RNAcentral lists this ribosomal RNA (253 nucleotides) under uncultured bacterium. RNAcentral's name for it is "partial 16S ribosomal RNA". It matches the Rfam family "Bacterial small subunit ribosomal RNA", at positions 524 to 776 of the family's 1533-position model. The record is from RNAcentral.
UACGUAGGGCGCAAGCGUUAUCCGGAAUUAUUGGGCGUAAAGAGCUCGUAGGCGGUUUGUCGCGUCUGCCGUGAAAGUCCGGGGCUCAACUCCGGAUCUGCGGUGGGUACGGGCAGACUAGAGUGAUGUAGGGGAGACUGGAAUUCCUGGUGUAGCGGUGAAAUGCGCAGAUAUCAGGAGGAACACCGGUGGCGAAGGCGGGUUCCUGGGCCUUAACUGACACUGAGACACGAAAGCUAGGGGAGCAAACAGG